UACGUAGGUGGCAAGCGUUGUCCGGAAUUACUGGGCGUAAAGGAUGCGUAGGCGGAUACUUAAGUGGGAUGUGAAAUCCUGGGGCUUAACCCCAGAACUGCAUUCCAAACUGGGUGUCUAGAGUGCAGGAGAGGAAAGUGGAAUUCCCAGUGUAGCGGUGAAAUGCGUAGAGAUUGGGAGGAACACCAGUGGCGAAGGCGACUUUCUGGACUGUAACUGACGCUGAGGCAUGAAAGUGUGGGGAGCAAACAGG
Molecule: ribosomal RNA, 253 nt
Filed under: uncultured bacterium
Lineage: Bacteria
Description: partial 16S ribosomal RNA
Rfam family: Bacterial small subunit ribosomal RNA
Source: RNAcentral